Molecule: ribosomal RNA, 499 nt
Filed under: Centrophorus isodon (blackfin gulper shark)
Lineage: Eukaryota; Metazoa; Chordata; Chondrichthyes; Squaliformes; Centrophoridae
Description: partial 16S ribosomal RNA
Rfam family: Bacterial large subunit ribosomal RNA
Source: RNAcentral
CCUGCCCUGUGACAAUGUUUAACGGCCGCGGUAUUUUGACCGUGCGAAGGUAGCGUAAUCACUUGUCUUUUAAAUGAAGACCUGUAUGAAAGGCAUCACGAGAGUUUAACUGUCUCUAUUUUCUAAUCAAUGAAAUUGAUCUUCUCGUGCAGAAGCGAGAAUAUUACCAUUAGACGAGAAGACCCUAUGGAGCUUCAAACACUUAAAUUAAUUAUGUAAAAUCAUAAUCCUUAGGGAAAAAUCAUUCAUAUAAUAUUCCUAAUUUAACUGUUUUUGGUUGGGGUGACCGGGGGGGAAAGAAAAUCCCCCUCAUCGACUGAGUACUAAGUACUUAAAAAUUAGAACGACAGUUCUGAUUAAUAAAACAUUUACCGAAAAAUGACCCAGAUUUUUCUGAUCAAUGAACCAAGUUACCCUAGGGAUAACAGCGCAAUCCUUUCCCAGAGUCCCUAUCGCCGAAAGGGUUUACGACCUCGAUGUUGGAUCAGGACAUCCUAAU